UACGGAGGAUGCAAGCGUUAUCCGGAAUGAUUGGGCGUAAAGCGUCCGCAGGUGGCAGUUCAAGUCUGCUGUCAAAGGCCGGGGCUCAACCCUGGAAAGGCAGUGGAAACUGAACAGCUAGAGAGCGGUAGGGGCAGAGGGAAUUCCCAGUGUAGCGGUGAAAUGCGUAGAGAUUGGGAAGAACACCGGUGGCGAAAGCGCUCUGCUAGGCCGCGACUGACACUCAGGGACGAAAGCUAGGGGAGCGAAUGGGAUUAGAUACCCCAGUAGUCCUAGCCGUAAACGUUGGAUACUAGGCGUUGAGAGUAUCGACCCUCUCAGUGUCGUAGCUAACGCGUUAAGUAUCCCGCCUGGGGAGU
This 359-nucleotide ribosomal RNA is filed under the name uncultured Gloeocapsa sp. RNAcentral's name for it is "bacterial SSU rRNA". It matches the Rfam family "Bacterial small subunit ribosomal RNA", at positions 524 to 881 of the family's 1533-position model. RNAcentral also lists the same sequence under 1 other name. The record is from RNAcentral. Lineage: Bacteria; Bacillati; Cyanobacteriota; Cyanophyceae; Chroococcidiopsidales; Chroococcidiopsidaceae.